GACGAACGCUGGCGGCGUGCUUAACACAUGCAAGUCGAACGGAAAGGCCCUGCUUUUGUGGGGUGCUCGAGUGGCGAACGGGUGAGUAACACGUGAGUAACCUGCCCUUGACUUUGGGAUAACUUCAGGAAACUGGGGCUAAUACCGGAUAGGAGCUCCUGCUGCAUGGUGGGGGUUGGAAAGUUUCGGCGGUUGGGGAUGGACUCGCGGCUUAUCAGCUUGUUGGUGGGGUAGUGGCUUACCAAGGCUUUGACGGGUAGCCGGCCUGAGAGGGUGACCGGCCACAUUGGGACUGAGAUACGGCCCAGACUCCUCCGGGAGGCAGCAGUGGGGAAUAGUGCACAAUGGGCGGAAGCCUGAUGCAGCAACGCCGCGUGCGGGAUGACGGCCUUCGGGUUGUAAACCGCUUUCGCCUGUGACGAAGCGUGAGUGACGGUAAUGGGUAAAGAAGCACCGGCUAACUACGUG
This 468-nucleotide ribosomal RNA is filed under the name uncultured bacterium. RNAcentral describes it as "partial 16S ribosomal RNA". It matches the Rfam family "Bacterial small subunit ribosomal RNA", at positions 28 to 507 of the family's 1533-position model. The record is from RNAcentral.